UCCCAGGUGGCUCAGCAGUAAAGAAUCUGCCUGUGAUGCAGAAGACCCAGGUUUAAUCCCUGGGUUGGGAA
Molecule: transfer RNA, 71 nt
Filed under: Bos indicus (zebu cattle)
Lineage: Eukaryota; Metazoa; Chordata; Mammalia; Artiodactyla; Bovidae
Also listed under: 1 other name
Rfam family: tRNA
About the family: Transfer RNA (tRNA) molecules are approximately 80 nucleotides in length.
Source: Rfam by way of RNAcentral